CUAAAAUGGUAUUUCUUCAGUUGUGCAGGAUCACUGGAACUGUUCAGUGAAUAUUUCAAUCUUUUUAUGAAACAACUUGGUUUCAACCCAGGACAAAUUGGAUUGACAGCACUGUUCGGAAUACCGCAUCUAUUCAUACCAUUGUGUCUAUUCUUCGGGGAGAAAUUUCGAGCAAGAAAGAUUGUCGCAGUAUGUGGUACCUUGGCAGCAUCGGUAUGUUGUAUGUUACCACUUUUAUCCCUGGUUGUACCAGCACUACAGCCGACAUGCUAUACCAAACCAUGCAUACAUAGCAUUCAAGUCUGCUAGGAAAGCAAUACAACUUAGAAACGGAACAGUGCAUUUGAACUAUUCAAGCUAUGCAUUUCGCAGCAACAAGAAGCACUUUACAUCGACAAAGUCUCUUAAAGCGGUACAACAACAUAUCUUCAUUAAUAGUUCGGUCGAUAAAACCACCAAUAACUCAUCUG
Molecule: non-coding RNA, 470 nt
Organism: Paramuricea clavata
Lineage: Eukaryota; Metazoa; Cnidaria; Anthozoa; Malacalcyonacea; Plexauridae
Source: the annotation of a GenBank genome assembly